CCUACGGGAGGCAGCAGUGGGGAAUAUUGGACAAUGGGGGGAACCCUGAUCCAGCCAUGCCGCGUGUGUGAAGAAGGCCCUCGGGUUGUAAAGCACUUUCAGUGAGGAAGAACGCCUGGUGGUUAAUACCCAUCAGGAAAGACAUCACUCACAGAAGAAGCACCGGCUAACUCCGUGCCAGCAGCCGCGGUAAUACGGAGGGUGCGAGCGUUAAUCGGAAUUACUGGGCGUAAAGCGCGCGUAGGUGGCUUGAUAAGCCGGUUGUGAAAGCCCCGGGCUCAACCUGGGAACGGCAUCCGGAACUGUCAAGCUAGAGUGCAGGAGAGGAAGGUAGAAUUCCCGGUGUAGCGGUGAAAUGCGUAGAGAUCGGGAGGAAUACCAGUGACGAAGGCGGCCUUCUGGACUGACACUGACACUGAGGUGCGAAAGCGUGGGUAGCAAACAGGAUUAGAUACCCGGGUAGUC
RNAcentral lists this ribosomal RNA (465 nucleotides) under Vreelandella stevensii. Its description in RNAcentral is "partial 16S ribosomal RNA". It matches the Rfam family "Bacterial small subunit ribosomal RNA", at positions 338 to 795 of the family's 1533-position model. The record is from RNAcentral. Lineage: Bacteria; Pseudomonadati; Pseudomonadota; Gammaproteobacteria; Oceanospirillales; Halomonadaceae.